GUGUCAGCAGCCGCGGUAAUACGGAGGGUGCAAGCGUUGCUCGGAAUCAUUGGGCGUAAAGCGUACGCAGGCUGUUCGUUAAGUCGGGUGUGAAAGCCCAGGGCUCAACCCUGGAAUGGCGCCCGAAACUGGCGGGCUUGAGUGCGGGAGAGGGAAGCGGAAUUCCUGGUGUAGAGGUGAAAUUCGUAGAUAUCAGGAGGAACACCGGUGGCGAAAGCGGCUUCCUGGCCCGACACUGACGCUCAUGUACGAAAGCGUGGGGAGCAAACAGGAUUAGAUACCCUGGUAGUCCACGCCGUAAACGAUGAGUGCUAGCUGCUGGGAAUGUUUACCGUCUCAGUGGCGAAGCUAACGCAUUAAGCACUCCGCCUGGGAAGUACGGCCGCAAGGCUAAA
Molecule: ribosomal RNA, 395 nt
Filed under: uncultured bacterium
Lineage: Bacteria
Description: bacterial SSU rRNA
Rfam family: Bacterial small subunit ribosomal RNA
Source: RNAcentral